Molecule: long non-coding RNA, 701 nt
Filed under: Elaeis guineensis (African oil palm)
Lineage: Eukaryota; Viridiplantae; Streptophyta; Magnoliopsida; Arecales; Arecaceae
Description: long non-coding RNA (EGUI_LNC038893)
Source: RNAcentral
UUAGGAAUAGGAGGAGAACCUCGUCCUAACAUGAGCAAAGUCGAAGGCUCGGUUAUUUAAAGAUCGGAUGGGGGGAGAGGCCCUUACAAUGGCCCUUAUGUGCCCCCACAGCCAUGUUAGGAACAGAAGGAGAACCUCGUCCUAACAUGAGCAAAGUCGAAAGCUCGGUUAUUUAAGACCGGAUGAGGGGGAGAGGUCCUUACAACGGCCCUUAUGUGCCCCCACAGCCAUGUUAGGAACAGGAGGAGAAUCUCGUUCUAACAUGAGCAAAGUCGAAGGUCCGAUUAUUUAGAGAUCGGAUGGGGGGAGAGGCCCUUACAAUGGUCCUUACGUGCCCCUACAGUCUUGUCUCAACGAGGAAGGAGACCCUUGUCAAAAAUCUUCAGUCUCUUAGAGGAAACCCGACACUGGCAGGAGAAAAUCGACUUCCUCAAGGUAACGAGAAGUUCGGGCUCUCAAGCUCGAGCAUCGGGAGGAAGCGUCAAACUCAAGUGGCUUCGAAAAGACCUUCGAUCAUGAACAAAAAAGGGCAAAUCAAUACGGCGACGAUCAGGAACCUUCAAACAAUGUCAACAUCGAACAAGACAAAAGACGAAAGAAGCUCGAUAAACAACUCAAAGCAAGAAUGGACAAGGUAAUAAGAAAAUUUCUUCUCAUUUCAUUAGUAAAGCGUGCAUUACAAAGCCUUUGAAGGCCAAAAA